CCUACGGGUGGCAGCAGUGGGGAAUAUUGGGCAAUGGGCGCAACCCUGACCCAGCAACGCCGCGUGAAGGAAGAAGGAUUUCGGGUUGUAAACUUCUUUUCUCAGGGACGAAAAAAGUGACGGUACCUGAGGAAUAAGCCACGGCUAACUACGUGCCAGCAGCCGCGGUAAUACGUAGGUGGCAAGCGUUAUCCGGAUUUACUGGGUGUAAAGGGCGCGUAGGCGGGUGCGCAAGUCAGAUGUGAAAACUCAGGGCUCAACCCUGAGCCUGCAUUGGAAACUGUGUGUCUUGAGUGCAGGAGAGGCAAUCGGAAUUCCGUGUGUAGCGGUGAAAUGCGUAGAUAUACGGAGGAACACCAGUGGCGAAGGCGGAUUGCUGGACAGUAACUGACGCUGAGGCGCGAAAGCGUGGGGAGCAAACAGGAUUAGAUACCCUUGUAGUC
Molecule: ribosomal RNA, 443 nt
Filed under: uncultured bacterium
Lineage: Bacteria
Description: partial 16S ribosomal RNA
Rfam family: Bacterial small subunit ribosomal RNA
Source: RNAcentral